RNAcentral lists this long non-coding RNA (343 nucleotides) under Hordeum vulgare. RNAcentral describes it as "long non-coding RNA (HVUL_LNC009755)". The record is from RNAcentral. Lineage: Eukaryota; Viridiplantae; Streptophyta; Magnoliopsida; Poales; Poaceae.
ACCGUAUCUCUCUCGUGUGAGCUCCACGUGCCCCUCGCCUGUGUGCGCGCCACGUUUGCCGUUGUCACGCCACGAGCACCGUAGAGCAUGUCCUCUGCUGCCACCGUGCGCACAGAGAACCGCAACGCCGAGUCGCGUCAUGUGCCGAUGAUUGUUCUAGCAUUGACCAAAAAUGGAGUCCCAACACUGAGUGUGUGCUGACCCGACCACCUAACCGCCUGAUUAAUCACAUGGAUCACCAGAAUUAAUGGCCGGAGUUAAGCUCCGCGGCACCCCUCUCAGGCUUCAAUAAAUAGAGUCCCUUCGUUGCUGCUAAACCCCUCAUCAGCUUCACCUCCUCCCC